RNAcentral lists this ribosomal RNA (484 nucleotides) under uncultured bacterium. RNAcentral describes it as "partial 16S ribosomal RNA". It matches the Rfam family "Bacterial small subunit ribosomal RNA", at positions 30 to 507 of the family's 1533-position model. The record is from RNAcentral.
AUUGAACGCUGGCGGCAGGCCUAACACAUGCAAGUCGAGCGGAUGAAGGAAGCUUGCUCCUGGAUUCAGCGGCGGACGGGUGAGUAAUGCCUAGGAAUCUGCCUGGUAGUGGGGGAUAACGUCCGGAAACGGGCGCUAAUACCGCAUACGUCCUGAGGGAGAAAGUGGGGGAUCUUCGGACCUCACGCUAUCAGAUGAGCCUAGGUCGGAUUAGCUAGUUGGUGGGGUAAAGGCCUACCAAGGCGACGAUCCGUAACUGGUCUGAGAGGAUGAUCAGUCACACUGGAACUGAGACACGGUCCAGACUCCUACGGGAGGCAGCAGUGGGGAAUAUUGGACAAUGGGCGAAAGCCUGAUCCAGCCAUGCCGCGUGUGUGAAGAAGGUCUUCGGAUUGUAAAGCACUUUAAGUUGGGAGGAAGGGCAGUAAGUUAAUACCUUGCCGUUUUGACGUUACCAACAGAAUAAGCACCGGCUAACUUCGUG